Long non-coding RNA from Ictalurus punctatus (channel catfish), 2260 nucleotides. The record is from Ensembl. Lineage: Eukaryota; Metazoa; Chordata; Actinopteri; Siluriformes; Ictaluridae.
UAAACCAUGUCAUUUCCUGUUGACAGCAGGUGGCGCUAUGACUGUAACUGAAUAUUGGACUGUAGAUAGCCGCAGGUCCGGAUUCCUAUCAAAUAUGUGAAGUUUGGUGUAGAUUGAACAGUGUGUGAAUUAUAACAACUUCCUGUUUCGUGGCAUUAGCACUUAGCUAAGUGUUGCUAGCAUGGUGUAACAUGUUUCUAGCGUGUUGCUAGCAUAUUUACCUCUUGCUGGCAUAUUUUACAAUGUUGGUAGGAGUGCAUCACAGUGUAAAACGUCAUUUCCUGUUGCCAGCAGGUGGCGCUAUGACUAUAACUUAAUAUUGGCAUGUAGAUGUCUUCAGGCCAGGACUUUUAUCAAACGUGAAGUUUUGGGAAGAUUAGGCAUUGUACGCUUGAGUGAUAACUUCCUGUUUAAUAGCAUUAAUAGCACGCUUUAGCACUUAGCUAAGUGUUGCUAGCAUGUUUUAACAUGUUUAGAAUUUGCUGGCACAUUUUUAUAUGUUGCUAGGAAUACAUCAGUGUAAAACAUGUCACUUCUUGUUGGCAGCAGGUGGCACUAUGACUAUAACUGAAUAUUGGCAUGUAGGUAGCCUCAGGCCAGGUUUUCUAUUAAAAAUGUGAAGUUUGGAGCAGAUUGAACAUUGUAUAUUUGAUUUAUAAGAAGUUCGUUUUUCAUGGCGAAACAUCGAAAUUUGUGAGACCGCCACGACCACACGUAAAUUUUCACCGGUUCUGACAGGUCUGCGAAGUUAUGUGAGUUUUCGGGUAUGUUUGGGCCCUCUAAAAUGCAAUUAAUUUGAGGAAUGAAGAUGAAGAAUUAAAGCUGCAAGCGGCGGUAAACGGGCCCUCGCACCCACUUGCAUGUUGGGGCUGCUCUCACUCCAGCGUCUCACUAGCAAACACUUCCAGAACAAGGAGUAGAUGAGACAACCACCAGGACCACAACUUCUCUCAAGACUGAAUGUCGAGGAAGGUGAUCAGAAGGUGCUUGGAUCAAAACCCAACUUGAGCUCUUGGCUAAUGGAGUUUGAGGGGUUGUGUGCUUAGAGGUGUGGAGGAGCAGAUUGUGGGUGGGUGUGUUCCUCUGGAAGGUGCAGGUGAUGUGUGAGUGUAGGCUGGGGGAUAGGUGGUGGAAGAGGAUAGAGCAAUUGGAAGGAGGGUUGUGUGAGUGGGUGGUGUGAACUCAGGAGGCAGUGGAGGAUUGUGGGGGUAAAUGCAGUGCAGGUGAAUGAUGGAUUGAGGUAGGGGCAAUCUCAAGGAAAGAAGAAAGAGAAGGAGGAGCAGAUGUUGGAGAGCGCACAUCCUGGAGUGCAGAUAAGGAGUGUGUGUGUGUGUGUGUGUUGGAGGGAGGUGUGCACUCAUGGGAGCAGCAAUGGACAGCAAUGGCCAACAGGAAGGUUGUGAGAAAAACAGAAAAAGGCUAGAGAAGUGUAGAGGAGAGUGACAAAAAACCAGUAUAAAACCAGGAGCCCAGGACUGUGACCUUUUGCAUCUACCUUAUCUUACCUGAGUAACCACACACACUCAUUGUCUCAUCUGGAGGAUGUGCACCCACCUCCCCUGCAACUUCUCUUCCUCCUAAGGCUUCACCUACACCCCCCAUUGUUCUAUCCCCUUCUGCCACUUAUCCCCCAGCCUACACACAGCUCACACUCUGAUAGCCAAAAGCAUCGGUUGGGUUUUGAUCCAAGCACCUUCUGAGCCACAGCUGCAACGACUCAGACGACUGAGCCACAGAGCCUCUUGCAUACCCCUGUCUCCACCACACCUUUUUACUGUUUCAGCACCUCUUUUUAUUCUUAAACCUGCCAAAAAGUGGGUUAAAACCUGCAUAAACAACAACCACAACACCACAGAUGAACAGAAGCAACCAUUGUGUGUUGGACUUUUAUCAUUAUAAAUCACUUGACGAGACCACAGCAAUUUUUGGUCUUAAACCAGCCAAAAGGCAGAAGAGAACCCACACAUUCUGGAACCCCACCACUGGCACAAACUCUAACCACUACACCACAGAGGAGCAGACAAAACAUGUGUGUGUUGGACUUUUGUCAUCAUAAAAUGUCAUUCACAAGGAGACAGAAAUUUUUAGUCUUAAACCAGACUCAUGAAGUGAUUUAUAACGACAAAAGUCCAACACACAAUUGUUAGGUCUGUCCCUCUGUGGUGUAGCAGUUAAUGUCAGUGUCAGAGUUGUGGUUCCAGAAAGUGUGUUCUGUUCUGCCUUUUGGAUGUUUUAAGACUAAAAAUUGGGCAUCCAAUUG